UAUUAGGAAAAGGGUUUGACAGAAAUGUCCUCUCCAGACAUGUAUCCUCUUCUAAAUUGUGAGCGGAAGUCCUUUAGUUUUGUUCUUGAGAAACUGAUCUCUUGGACAAUGCCAUCUUAUUGGUGCAUGCGCCAUUGUGCAACUCUACUUGCCAAGAAGUUUGUUUUGGCUCUGUAUACAUGUGAUUGCAUACUUUCUAUUGCGACACAGAAUUCGAUUGUCAGGGCCUUUCAUUUUAACAAGGAAGCGCAGAUAAGUCGAGAAAAGGGAGGCAUGACUAGAUGUUUUGUUAUACUGAGUACUGCCAUUGUAAUUGUAAGACACUUUACUGGACUGUGUUAUCUCAAAAGAGAUUUUUAUCGUCAGAAUGAAGUACCCUCAAGGUACCUCAAUCCUUUAAAAGAUCUUGUAGUUGCGGCAAGAAGAAUUAUUGUCCCUGACGGUCUUGUGCCAGUAUUUGAAAUCAUACCCAAGCAAAGGAAGUUUUUCUCGUUCUCUGGCAUGUCCUAACAAGGGGUAAAAUGUCUUUUGUCAAAUCGCAAAUCAUCUAAUAUAGAAAAUUAACAUUUCUCGUUUUCUUCCCCAUCGUUUCUUCAAUAGAAUCUCAGAUUCUCAGGUAAAUCUUUGAAGUACUAGAAAUCAACCAUGACUUUGAGAUUAAUAGCUAGGGUUUUAGGAUGAUUCUUGUGAAGCCAUAACGCAGAAGCAUAAAACCCUUCUUUAUCUGAUUUACCAGUAUCUCUCACACCUCUCAAGUUACAUAUCAACUUCAAAGCUGUUAACGGAUCUCGUUUAGAACCCUUUACUCGGUUGAUUCAAGAAUACGAGGAAUCUGAGUGUGCAAAGCUAAUGAAGGGUUUAAUAAGUGGUUCUUCCUCCUCCUCCUCAAUUAAUUCCUGAUUUGAAAUCCAAACUAAUUUUCAGUGUUAAUCUGAAGAGAAUCUAAGGAAAGAAAGAAGGAAAAAUGUGUAAUGGAUUCUAGUGAGAGAAGAAGGAACAGAGAAUGUGUGUAGAAGAAGAGUUGCAGUAAAUGAUGUCAGUCAUGGCGUGUGGGGACUCAUAAAGCUUGAUCACGUGGGACUAAACAGUGCCAGAGUGUUACUUUAGUUUAGUAUAUAGUUCUUGGUUUGUCCAUCUUAUUAAAAACCAAUAGAGAAAUAGGAUGGUUUAUGAUAAUGAGGUUGCAGAGAAAGAUUGCGCUCUGUGUGAAAUACUGCAUAUGAGUUGCAAGUCUUUUAAUAUAGUAGGGUGCGGUCUGUGAGAGAGUAGUUGAACGCUUUUUUUCUCUCCCUUGUCAGAAUCAGUUAUGUGUUAUGAUGGAGCUUCUUGUGGAAUCCUGGAGAGUCUGGGUAUAGAUUCAUUGGCAGAGCAAGUGAUGUGUGAUUUACUGGUAUUAUAUUAGCUGUUUCUGGUGGCUUUGCAUAAUAAUUUUUAUGUGCUUUGUUUUAGGACUGAUUCUAGAAGCUGUUAUUUCUGCUUUUUCGUCUGUGGUUUGCAAUAACCAGAUGGAACAGGAUUUGUAGUUUGUUAACUGAGUGGUCUUUUGUUCAUAGUUAAGCGUGGUGCUCGCCCUUAGCUGGAGGGGAGUGCCUUAUAUAUGUAUAUGUCCAAGUACAUCUUGUUGUGUACUGCUCUUGCAACAGGGAAAUGCAUUAGUAAAUGCCAGAUUAAAAGAUUUAUUUGGUGAUCUUAGUACUUAUUCCAUCUUCGUAGAUGAUGAUUGAAGAAGAAGGUCAAUAUGAACAGCUUUUGGUGAUGAUGUUGUUAUAUGAAGAACAAGGUCACGUGAAGAACAUGGAAUUGGGCUGGGAUUCAUCGUCGAUUUUGAAAAGAAUAAAACUCGUUUCUUGAGACUAUAAAUGGCUUUGUGCCUAGCAGGAUAUUUCUGUUUGUUCAUUUUUCCCUAGUUAGAUUGGCAGUACCAUUGGGUACAUAUUUAGAUAGGUUAGAUCUUAUUUGCUCAGUUGUUGCAAGAUUUAUUUCUUUUGUUUUUUGGAAGUAUUUUCUGUAUACA
Molecule: long non-coding RNA, 2014 nt
Organism: Papaver somniferum (opium poppy)
Lineage: Eukaryota; Viridiplantae; Streptophyta; Magnoliopsida; Ranunculales; Papaveraceae
Exons: 4
Source: RefSeq, a predicted model, not a curated record